CAGUAGCCGCGGGAAUACAGAGGGUGCAAGCGUUAAUCGGAAUUACUGGGCGUAAAGCGCGCGUAGGUGGUUUGUUAAGUUGGAUGUGAAAGCCCCGGGCUCAACCUGGGAACUGCAUCCAAAACUGGCAAGCUAGAGUACGGUAGAGGGUGGUGGAAUUUCCUGUGUAGCGGUGAAAUGCGUAGAUAUAGGAAGGAACACCAGUGGCGAAGGCGACCACCUGGACUGAUACUGACACUGAGGUGCGAAAGCGUGGGGAGCAAACAGGAUUAGAUACCCCCGUAGUCCCUGUCUCAUAUAA
RNAcentral lists this ribosomal RNA (301 nucleotides) under uncultured bacterium. Its description in RNAcentral is "partial 16S ribosomal RNA". It matches the Rfam family "Bacterial small subunit ribosomal RNA", at positions 509 to 809 of the family's 1533-position model. The record is from RNAcentral.